UGAGGCGCGAAAGCUAGGGGAGCGAACAGGAUUAGAUACCCUGGUAGUCCUAGCCGUAAACGUUGGGUGCUAGGUGUGGGCGGAUAUCGACCCCGUCCGUGCCGAAGCUAACGCAUUAAGCACCCCGCCUGGGGAGUACGGCCGCAAGGCUAAAACUCAAAGGAAUUGACGGGGGCCCGCACAAGCGGCGGAGCAUGCGGCUUAAUUCGAUGCAGCGCGAAGAACCUUACCUGGGCUUGACAUGCAGGGCAAAGCCGGUGAAAGCCGGCGCUCUACGGAGCCUGCACAGGUGGUGCAUGGCUGUCGUCAGCUCGUGCCGUGAGGUGUUGCCUUAAGUGGCGCAACGAGCGCAACCCUUGUCCUUAGUUGCCAGCGGGUAAAGCCGGGAACUCUAGGGAGACUGCCGGUGCCAAACCGGAGGAAGGUGGGGAUGACGUCAAGUCAUCAUGCCCCUUAUGUCCAGGGCUGCACGCAUGCUACAAUGCGCGGUACAAAGGGCUGCGAUCCCGUAAGGGGGAGCGAAUCCCAAAAAGCCGCGCUCAGUUCGGAUCGGGGUCUGCAACCCGACCCCGUGAAGUGCGGAGUCGCUAGUAAUCG
This 597-nucleotide ribosomal RNA is filed under the name uncultured Actinomycetes bacterium. Its description in RNAcentral is "bacterial SSU rRNA". It matches the Rfam family "Bacterial small subunit ribosomal RNA", at positions 747 to 1344 of the family's 1533-position model. The record is from RNAcentral. Lineage: Bacteria; Bacillati; Actinomycetota; Actinomycetes.